AGACAAUUAAUGAUGUACUUAUAAAGGAAAAACAACAUAAUGCACUGUGUAAAAAUAUCAGAUCAGUGGUUGGUCACUUUAAGCACAGUAUUCGAGCUAAUAAAUUGUUGAAAAAAUUUUAGUCUGAAAAUAAAGUUUCUACCCAUAAGUUUAUACAAGAUAGAAUAGUACAUUCUUAAUUCUCAAUCGAUAUUUAGAACAAAAA
This is a non-coding RNA of Cinara cedri, 205 nucleotides long. Lineage: Eukaryota; Metazoa; Arthropoda; Insecta; Hemiptera; Aphididae. The record is from the annotation of a GenBank genome assembly.